AUUGAACGCUGGCGGCAUGCUUUACACAUGCAAGUCGAACGGUAACAGGCCGCCAGGUGCUGACGAGUGGCGAACGGGUGAGUAAUGCAUCGGAACGUGCCCAGUCGUGGGGGUUAACUACUCGAAAGAGUAGCUAAUACCGCAUACGAUCUAUGGAUGAAAGCGGGGGACCGUAAGGCCUCGCGCGAUUGGAGCGGCCGAUGUCAGAUUAGGUAGUUGGUGGGGUACAGGCUCACCAAGCCAACGAUCAAUAGCUGGUCUGAGAGGACGACCAGCCACACUGGGACUGAGGCACGGCCCAGACUCCUACGGGAGGCAGCAGUGGAGAAUUUUGGACAAUGGGCGCAAGCCUGAUCCAGCAAUGCCGCGGGCAGGAAGAAGGCCUUCGGGUUGGAAACUGCUUUUGUACGGAACGAAACGGCUCUGGUUAAUACCCGGGGCUAAUGACGGUACCGUAAGAAUAAGCACCGGCUAACUACGUG
This 482-nucleotide ribosomal RNA is filed under the name uncultured bacterium. RNAcentral's name for it is "partial 16S ribosomal RNA". It matches the Rfam family "Bacterial small subunit ribosomal RNA", at positions 30 to 507 of the family's 1533-position model. The record is from RNAcentral.